AGCACCUGUGUUAGCGUUCCCGAAGGCACAGUCAGAUCUCUCUAACUUUCGCUACAUGUCAAGACCAGGUAAGGUUCUUCGCGUUGCAUCGAAUUAAACCACAUGCUCCACCGCUUGUGCGGGCCCCCGUCAAUUCAUUUGAGUUUUAGCCUUGCGGCCGUACUCCCCAGGCGGUCAACUUAUCGCGUUAGCUUCGAUACGCAAGAGUUAGACUCUCACACACCUAGUUGACAUCGUUUAGGGCGUGGACUACCAGGGUAUCUAAUCCUGUUUGCUACCCACGCUUUCGCACCUCAGCGUCAGUAAUGGCCCAGUGAGUCGCCUUCGCCACUGAUGUUCCUUCAGAUCUCUACGCAUUUCACCGCUACACCUGAAAUUCCACUCACCUCUACCAUACUCUAGCCAAACAGUUUCAAAUGCAGUUCCUAGGUUGAGCCCAGGGAUUUCACAUCUGACUUAUUUAACCGCCUACGCGCGCUUUACGCCCAGUAAUUCCGAUUAACGCUUGCACCCUCCGUAUUACCGCGGCUGCUGGCACGGAGUUAGCCGGUGCUUCUUCUGACGUUAACGUCAGGGCUACCUAGUAUUAAUAGAUAACUUUUCCUCACGUCUGAAAGUGCUUUACAACCCUAAGGCCUUCUUCACACACGCGGCAUUGCUGCAUCAGAGUUUCCUCCAUUGUGCAAUAUUCCCCACUGCUGCCUCCCGUAGGAGUCUGGGCCGUGUCUCA
Molecule: ribosomal RNA, 730 nt
Filed under: uncultured bacterium
Lineage: Bacteria
Description: partial 16S ribosomal RNA
Source: RNAcentral